GGGGUGCUCGAGUGGCGAACGGGUGAGUAACACGUGAGUAACCUGCCCUUGACUUUGGGAUAACUUCAGGAAACUGGGGCUAAUACCGGAUAGGAGCUCCUGCUGCAUGGUGGGGGUUGGAAAGUUUCGGCGGUUGGGGGUGGACUCGCGGCUUAUCAGCUUGUUGGUGGGGUAGUGGCUUACCAAGGCUUUGACGGGUAGCCGGCCUGAGAGGGUGACCGGCCACAUUGGGACUGAGAUACGGCCCAG
RNAcentral lists this ribosomal RNA (249 nucleotides) under uncultured Actinomycetales bacterium. Its description in RNAcentral is "partial 16S ribosomal RNA". It matches the Rfam family "Bacterial small subunit ribosomal RNA", at positions 84 to 334 of the family's 1533-position model. Lineage: Bacteria; Bacillati; Actinomycetota; Actinomycetes; Actinomycetales. The record is from RNAcentral.